Molecule: long non-coding RNA, 472 nt
Filed under: Nicotiana tabacum (common tobacco)
Lineage: Eukaryota; Viridiplantae; Streptophyta; Magnoliopsida; Solanales; Solanaceae
Description: long non-coding RNA (NTAB_LNC010375)
Source: RNAcentral
UCAAUUAUCCCGGUAUAAACCGUGAAUCUCCCUGGCAUAACCCAAGGAGCUUUUUCUAUCCAAAUCCCGACCAAAAACCGUGGACUUCCCCGGCAUAACCCGAUGAUUUCCCCGGCAUAACCCGUGGACUUUUUUCGGCAUAACCCGGUGAUUUUUUCCGGCAUAACCCGUUGACCUUUUCCGACAUAACCCGAUGAUCUUUCCGGCAUAACCCGAUGAUCUCCCCGGCAUAACCCGAUGAUUUCCCCGGCAUAACUCAUGGACCUUCUUCGGCAUAACCCGAUGAUUUCCCCGGAUAACCCGUGGACCUUUUCCCGGCAUAACCCGAUGAUUUCCCCGGCAUAAUCCGUGGACCUUUUUCGGCAUAACCCGAUGAUUCUUCCCGGCAUAACCCGUGGACCUUUUCCGGCAUAACCCGAUGACUUUACCGGCAUAACCCGAGGACUCUUUCCCUUUUUCGGCAUAACCCGAU